AUUGAACGCUGGCGGCAUGCUUUACACAUGCAAGUCGAGCGGUAACAGGCCUUCGGGUGCUGACGAGUGGCGAACGGGUGAGUAAUGGAUCGGAACGUACCCAGAGGUGGGGGAUAACGCAGCGAAAGCUGUGCUAAUACCGCAUGUGAUCUGAGGAUGAAAGCGGGGGACCGAGCAGCAAUGUUUGGCCUCGCGCCUUUGGAGCGGCCGAUGUCGGAUUAGCUAGUUGGUGGGGUAAAGGCCUACCAAGGCGACGAUCCGUAGCUGGUCUGAGAGGACGACCAGCCACACUGGGACUGAGACACGGCCCAGACUCCUACGGGAGGCAGCAGUGGGGAAUUUUGGACAAUGGGCGCAAGCCUGAUCCAGCAAUGCCGCGUGCGGGAAGAAGGCCUUCGGGUUGUAAACCGCUUUUGGCAGGAACGAAACGGUGUCCGCUAAUACCGGGCGCUAAUGACGGUACCUGCAGAAUAAGCACCGGCUAACUACGUG
RNAcentral lists this ribosomal RNA (492 nucleotides) under uncultured bacterium. RNAcentral's name for it is "partial 16S ribosomal RNA". It matches the Rfam family "Bacterial small subunit ribosomal RNA", at positions 29 to 507 of the family's 1533-position model. The record is from RNAcentral.